CAAGAAAGCUCUGAAGUUAUGGUGCGCACAUGAGAUCUGGCGUGUGUGUAGAGGAUGAUCAUUCCCGAUCCCCCCUCCUAACCUUAUAUACUGGCGGCUAGGUCUUGAACGUGAUAAUCAGGAAGGUUACAAUCAAAUCAGUACAUUCUGGUAUAGUAAGAUUACGUUUCUUGGCUUGAGCCGCACUUUGAGGGAUUCGACCUGCAUAUACUUGACGGGCCUUCGAGCGGACCCCCUGUUAAUCUGUAUCGGGUAUAUGAAGGUUGAGGAUUCGAAUGGUCAUUCCCUCGUCAAGCGGCCCUGUCUCCACUAGUUUUGGAAAAAUAAUACCACACACAUAGGAUAAAAAUCCUAUUUAAUGAUACAUAAGAAGAAAAAAUAUGGUUCCCUGCAAAAAGAAAAGAAAAAUAUGGUUGACAUAUCUUCAAUCAAUGGGUCAAGGAGUUCGGUGAAUCAAUUUAAAUGAUUUUAUCCAAUGCUCCGUGUGAUGGAGUCAUAAUUGAUUAAUUCUCCCUCGAAAGGAAAAUCUUGCAUCAAAAUUUAAACACAGAAGUCUACAGACGAGGAGCUAAUGAAAUAAUACAAAUGCUACGGCCAUUUACUAAAAAAAACGAAAGAGGCAUCUUUGAAGUCAACAGAGUUUGAACGAUCGUGAGACAUCGCAAUAGAAAAACAAAUUCAUUCAAGUAUCUACUCUAAGCGU
RNAcentral lists this long non-coding RNA (703 nucleotides) under Brachypodium distachyon (stiff brome). Its description in RNAcentral is "long non-coding RNA (BDIS_LNC003994)". The record is from RNAcentral. Lineage: Eukaryota; Viridiplantae; Streptophyta; Magnoliopsida; Poales; Poaceae.